Molecule: ribosomal RNA, 359 nt
Filed under: gamma proteobacterium R2A148
Lineage: Bacteria; Pseudomonadati; Pseudomonadota; Gammaproteobacteria
Description: bacterial SSU rRNA
Rfam family: Bacterial small subunit ribosomal RNA
Source: RNAcentral
GAUCAUGGCUCAGAUUGAACGCUGGCGGCAGGCUUAACACAUGCAAGUCGAGCGGAAACGAAGAUAGCUUGCUAUCAGGCGUCGAGCGGCGGACGGGUGAGUAACGCGUAGGAACCUACCUAAUAGUUUGGGAUAGCCCAGAGAAAUUUGGAUUAAUACCGGAUACGCCCUACGGGGGAAAGCAGGGGAUCUUCGGACCUUGCGCUAUUAGAUGGGCCUGCGUGAGAUUAGCUAGUUGGUGAGGUAAUGGCUCACCAAGGCGACGAUCUCUAGCUGGUCUGAGAGGAUGAUCAGCCACACUGGAACUGAGACACGGUCCAGACUCCUACGGGAGGCAGCAGUGGGGAAUAUUGCACAAU